Molecule: ribosomal RNA, 434 nt
Filed under: Callicorixa alaskensis
Lineage: Eukaryota; Metazoa; Arthropoda; Insecta; Hemiptera; Corixidae
Description: partial large subunit ribosomal RNA
Rfam family: Archaeal large subunit ribosomal RNA
Source: RNAcentral
GUCCUUUUGAUUUUUAUUUAAGGUCUGACCUGCCCACUGAUUUAUUUAAUGGCCGCGGUAUUUUGACCGUGCAAAGGUAGCAUAGUAAUUUGUCUUUUAAUUGAAGGCUUGUAUGAAUGGUUGGACGAGAAAACUACUUUCUUUAUAAUAAAAUUAUUAAUUUUAUUUUUUAGUUAAAAAGCUAAAAUGUUGUUGUAGGACGAGAAGACCCUAUAGAACUUUAUAUUUAUUUUUUUACUAAUAUUUUUGGUUAAUAAUAUAUUGUAUUUUUAUAAAUAUUUUGUUGGGGCGACAAGAAAAUUUAUUUAACUUUUUUUAUUAAUUUCAUUAAUUAAUGUAUAAAUGAUCCUUUAUUAUGGAUAAUUAGAAUAAGUUACCUUAGGGAUAACAGCGUAAUUUUUUUGGAGAGUUCUUAUCGAUAAAAAAGUUUGCGA